RNAcentral lists this ribosomal RNA (253 nucleotides) under uncultured bacterium. RNAcentral's name for it is "partial 16S ribosomal RNA". It matches the Rfam family "Bacterial small subunit ribosomal RNA", at positions 524 to 776 of the family's 1533-position model. The record is from RNAcentral.
CACGAAGGGGGCUAGCGUUGCUCGGAAUCACUGGGCGUAAAGGGUGCGUAGGCGGGUCUUUAAGUCAGGGGUGAAAUCCUGGAGCUCAACUCCAGAACUGCCUUUGAUACUGAGGAUCUUGAGUUCGGGAGAGGUGAGUGGAACUGCGAGUGUAGAGGUGAAAUUCGUAGAUAUUCGCAAGAACACCAGUGGCGAAGGCGGCUCACUGGCCCGAUACUGACGCUGAGGCACGAAAGCGUGGGGAGCAAACGGG